CAUUGCCNCUUGNAAAGCUUGANUGCGAUCAUGACAGGACUCGAGGACGGCUACUCCGGGCAGCAGCCGCAGUCUACGCACUGCAAGUGUUCUUCGGAAUGACUGGGCGUAAGGCACAUAGCGGUGAAUCGGGUUGAAAGUGAAAGUCGCCAACUGGCGGAAUGCUCUCGACCAAUUCACUUGNGUGAGACANANGAGAGUGNAAUUUCUGUGUAGGGUGAAAUCCAAGGAACACCAAUCAAAGGCAGCUCUCUGUCCCUACCGACGCUGGGGUGCGAAAUGGGGAGCAACGGNUUAAACCCUGGGUCCAUGCCAAACCAUGAGUGUUCCCCCUGGUCUCACGGAUCAUGGGCCCCUAACGCGUGAAACACUCCGCCUGGGGAGUACGGUCGCANGACCAAACUCAAAUNAUGG
Molecule: ribosomal RNA, 414 nt
Filed under: uncultured Alphaproteobacteria bacterium
Lineage: Bacteria; Pseudomonadati; Pseudomonadota; Alphaproteobacteria
Description: partial 16S ribosomal RNA
Rfam family: Bacterial small subunit ribosomal RNA
Source: RNAcentral